Molecule: non-coding RNA, 416 nt
Organism: Paramisgurnus dabryanus
Lineage: Eukaryota; Metazoa; Chordata; Actinopteri; Cypriniformes; Cobitidae
Source: RefSeq, a predicted model, not a curated record
CACAAUAUUUACCAGAAGACCGUUAUUUGCUCGAUUACCCUCAACUUUUUUGUCGCAAAUAACAUCAUUAAUAACCUGUAAAUAAUCAAAUUUGUACACAUUACGUUCCUCUUCACUUUGUAAUAGUAUGUUUUUGGUUUAAUAGUCGGCUUUUAGUUAGUUUUUCUGUCAGUUUGAUCGUCAAAAUCUUGAAAGUUAUCUACAGCCACACAUCCACUGUAUACCAAGUUAUGAUGAUCAAUUAUGAGAAUGCAAAAGGAUUGAUAGAUCAGUAAACAAACAACAAAAAGAUGGGUGCUCAUGGUGGCCUCCGAAUAAAUACAUGGACAGGCUGCUAAAGAGGGUCAGGAUGAUGGAGAUGCAAGAGUCAAAGACAGCACAGACCAAACACCAGGCCAGAAUUCUGCAUGAGUCAG